UACGUAGGGGGCUAGCGUUGUCCGGAUUUAUUGGGCGUAAAGAGCGUGUAGGCGGCCAGGUAGGUCUGCUGUGAAAACUCGAGGCUCAACCUCGAGACGUCGGCGGAAACCAUCUGGCUAGAGUCCGGAAGAGGAGAGUGGAAUUCCUGGUGUAGCGGUGAAAUGCGCAGAUAUCAGGAAGAACACCCGUGGCUAAGGCGGCUCUCUAGUACGGUACUGACGCUGAGGUGCGAAAGCGUGGGUAGCAAACAGG
Molecule: ribosomal RNA, 253 nt
Filed under: uncultured bacterium
Lineage: Bacteria
Description: partial 16S ribosomal RNA
Rfam family: Bacterial small subunit ribosomal RNA
Source: RNAcentral